CCUGCGGAGGGAUCAUUGCUGGAACGCGCCCCAGGCGCACCCAGAAACCCUUUGUGAACUUAUACCUUACUGUUGCCUCGGCGCAUGCCGGCCCCCCUGGGGGCCCCUCCUUCUGGAGGAGCAGGCACGCCGGCGGCCAACCCAACUCUUGUUUUUACACUGAAACUCUGAGAAUAAAACAUAAAUGAAUCAAAACUUUCAACAACGGAUCUCUUGGUUCUGGCAUCGAUGAAGAACGCAGCGAAAUGCGAUAAGUAAUGUGAAUUGCAGAAUUCAGUGAAUCAUCGAAUCUUUGAACGCACAUUGCGCCCUCUGGUAUUCCGGAGGGCAUGCCUGUUCGAGCGUCAUUUCAACCCUCAAGCCUGGCUUGGUGAUGGGGCACUGCCUGUAAAAGGGCAGGCCCUGAAAUUCAGUGGCGAGCUCGCCAGGACCCCGAGCGCAGUAGUUAAACCCUCGCUUUGGAAGGCCCUGGCGGUGCCCUGCCGUUAAACCCCCAACUUCUGAAAAUUUGACCUCGGAUCAGGUAGGAAUACCCGCUGAACUUAAGCAUAUCAAA
Molecule: ribosomal RNA, 556 nt
Filed under: Diaporthe sp.
Lineage: Eukaryota; Fungi; Ascomycota; Sordariomycetes; Diaporthales; Diaporthaceae
Description: eukaryotic LSU rRNA
Rfam family: 5.8S ribosomal RNA (bases 194-347)
Source: RNAcentral